GGUUUAUGGCUCUAAUUUUUUUUCCAUUUUAUUCUAGGAUGCCUGGUUUUGGGGGGGUGUAGUUGUUCAUAGUAAACUCAUGAUUUUUUUAUUUUUGAUGUCAUUUGUAAUAUUUUCUUUUUCAGUUAUAAUUUUGUUGAUUUGGGUCCUAUUUUUAUUUCUUGGUUUAUCUAGGUAAAGAUUUAUUAAUUUCGCUUAUGUUUUCAAAGAAACAACUCUUAGUUUGGUUAGUCUCACCUACUGAUUUUCUGUUUUCUAUCUCAUUUAUUUCUGUUCCAUUCCUUAUUACUCCCUUUCUUCCACUAGCUUUAUACUCACUUUGUACUUCUUUUUCUAGAUCCUUAAGGUGUAGAAUUAGGAUCUUUCUUGCUUCUUAAUGUAGGCACUUAUUGCUAUGCACUUCCCUCUAAGAACCACUUUUGCUGCAUCCUGUAAGUUUUGGUAUUUGUGUUUUCAUUUUUGUUCAUCUCAAGAUACUUUAAUUUAUUCUUUGAUCCAUGGUUACUCAGGAGAAUGUUGUUAAAUUUCCACAUAUUUGUGAAUUUUCCAAUUUUCCUCUUAGUGUUGAUUUCUAAUUUUAUAUACAUAUAUUUUUUGAGAGAGAAAGAGCACACGUGCUGGGGGAAGGGCAGAGGGAGAGAAAGAAUAUUAAGCAGGCUCCACACUCAGCAUGAAGCCCAAUAUGGGGCUCUCGAUGUCAUGAAUGUGAGAUCAUGGCCUGGGGAGAAAUCAAACAUUGGACACUUAACCGACUGAGCCACCCAGCCCUAUGUGUAUCUUUAAGCAUAAAGUCAGUGUCUUAUAAGCAGCAUAUCAUUUAAUAUGAUUUUUAAAAUCCAUUCAGCCAUUCUGUGUCUUUUGAUUAGAUAAUUUAAUAUGUUUAUAUUUAAGGUAAUUAUUGAUAAUAACUUACUAUUGCUGUUGUUUUCUGGUUGUUUUGUAGAUCCAUUGUUCCUUAUUUUUACUCAGGAACUCCCUCUAGCCUUUCUCCAGUGGUGAGAAAAGUCUUCCUAUCACCUCAUUUCUGAAGGACAUCUUUGCAAGGGCUGAUCAUAUUUCAGGACAUAAUUGGACACGAUGGUAGAAGAGUACAAGAGUGGAACUGAGUAAGAGUUGAGAUCCAGAACUCAGUACGUGCUCGGAUGGAGGUGAAGAAUAUUGAGCUUUAUCACAGAUUUAUCCACAUGUGCUUCCAAAGAGAAAGAGACACUGGCACUAAAGCACAGCCACUUGGAAAGUUAUUAUGGCUUUGGUUGCUAAGACAGAAAUAGAGCCUUUGGAGAAAUGAUUGGUUCAAAUCAUUGGGAAUGUAAUUUUCAUCAUUGCAUUCACUAAAAGGCGCACUUAGAGAAAAUGGCCUCCCAGUUUCCAAAAAUACAGUUUCCUUAAAAUGGGAAUAUCUCAGAUCUGAUCUUUGUGGGUAUUAAACCAAUUUACUUAUAAGCAAAAGUUAUACCUUUUGCCCUAAACAAAUUUAAUUCACAGAUUGAGUUAUUUAGCUGAGAUAUACUCCUAUUAGUUUCAUUAAUCUUAUUGACAAUUACACUGUCACCUUAGUUCAUUAGAAAAGUUUAUAGACCUCAAAGGUCUAGGGGCGCCUGGGUAGCUCAGUCGGUUGAGCAUCCGACUUCAGCUCAGGUCAUGAUCUCAUACUCUGUAAGUUCGAGCCCCACGUCGGGCUCUGUGCUGACAGCUCAGAGGCUGGAGCCUGCUUCAGAUUCCCUGUCUCCCCCUCUCUCUGCCCCUCCCUGCUCAUGCUCUGCCUCUCUCUGUCUCAAAGAUAAAUAAAAACAUUUGAAAAAAAAUUUUAAAAGGUCAAUAAAUUAUUUCAACAGUGCAUUUAUCCAGUACUAGCUUAACAUUUCUCAAACAUUUUCACAACUGUCCAGGAGACAAUGAAACUACUUACUUUAAAUGGAAAAUACUUGGUAAAAAAUUUAACAGCCAGUUUCAUAAAGCUUCAAAGUCCUAUGAAAUAAAAUGACAUAUGUGUAAAAAGGUAAGUAAGUAUGAGGAAUAAACUUAGGAAUUCCCUGAGCCUGCACUGAUGGGUUAAUGAGGCAUAAAGAAACUAGCCAUAGGAUGUACACACCCAAGUUUGGGUAAACAAAGUUAGGUAAAUGGGGCAAAGGCCCCCAGUAUAGGACAAAGGUAUAAAAAUAGGGAAUCUCAGGAUGAAAACAUCCAAGAUGAGGUAAACAAGAUUAGGGUGGAAAUGCCCCCAGCUUAGUACAAUAGCAGAAAGCUGCUUUUACAGGAAGGAAGGACCAAAUUAGGUAAACAGGUAAAUAGGGCUAUAGACUGCUGUGGAGUGAAGUUGCCCAGAGAAGAGCUAAUUAGCAAAAGAAAGGUGCCUUGUUGACCCUGAGGUUGCAUGCUCUUUCUCCUUCUCUGUUUACCUAAACUGGUCUAGAGGUGGGGCCUCAUGUUUGCUGUAAACAACCUUCCAACCCUAGCCAGGGUUUUGUUUUGUAUUGACCCAAACCCCUAAUACCACAUAUCUUCAGAACCCCCUUUCCCUUAUGCACAUGAGUUAAUGUUCACGAUUUCAUUGUCUCUUUGUGCACAUCCAUCAGCACAUUUGUAAGCCUUUUGAUCCUAAUACAAAUGGAGCAAGGACCCUUACUCAGGGGUCUUGUCUCCUCCCAGACAUUAGCCUCUCUCACAGUUUUAAUCCUGCAUCCUGCUUUCUUGCUGGACAAGAGAGAACUCCAGACCCAGAGUCUAUGACAAGUAAGGAAACAAAUAAUUCUGGUAUAUAAUAUAACACUUAUCAUCAUGGGUUAUAAGAUCACACACAUUUUAUAUUCUAUUAAAAUAAGAUCACAUUAGAUCAUAAACUUUUAUUUAAAUAAAAUGAGAUCACCAUUUAAUUUUUGAAUACCUUAGUAAUAAUUACUUGAAGUCACUGAAUUUAAGUCGUCCAAUAAUUUCUAUACAGGUAGGAAUGAAUUAUUAUAUUUAAAGACUUGAAGUUAACUUUGACAUUGCAAAAUAGGCGGGAUCAUGUAACAUGAGCUAUAUACUUAACAAACCUUUAAAAAUACAACCACUUUCCUUUAGAGAUCACCAAGAAGUUUUAGUAAACCAUUGCUUUUUUUUUUUUAAGGAGAAAAGCAUAUUGUGGUAUAAUCCUUAAUAAAACAGUUCAGAAUACUUCAGUUCCGAUUAUAAAUGUCUGUACAAGAUUUAGUCUAUUAAUUAUUUGAAGUUGGCAAGUUGUCGUACCCACUCAUUCCUUACAGAGACUGCAUUGCAUGAGUUGGGUUUAGGGAAUUUAUGAAUAGGAUAUUUAUUUGAAUCUGUGCCAUCAUUCCUUGUUACCUUAAUCAAAUUCCAGGCUGGAAAGAUUAUAAAGACACCCCACUGUGGAUGCCCUGGAGCAGAGUUGGAGCAGAUUGGCCAGGAGGACUUGCCAGAAUACUCCAUGCUCAACAUGUCAGUUCAAUUGCUGUGACAAGAACCAGUCCUAUUCAGUUGCUAAUGGAAAGGCAU
Molecule: long non-coding RNA, 3495 nt
Organism: Acinonyx jubatus (cheetah)
Lineage: Eukaryota; Metazoa; Chordata; Mammalia; Carnivora; Felidae
Exons: 4
Source: RefSeq, a predicted model, not a curated record